UGGGGAAUCUUAGACAAUGGGGGAAACCCUGAUCUAGCCAUGCCGCGUGAGUGAUGAAGGCCCUAGGGUCGUAAAGCUCUUUCGCUGGGGAUGAUAAUGACCAUACCCAGUAAAGAAACCCCGGCUAACUCCGUGCCAGCAGCCGCGGUAAUACGGAGGGGGUUAGCGUUGUUCGGAAUUACUGGGCGUAAAGCGCGCGUAGGCGGAUUGGUCAGUCAGGGGUGAAAUCCCGGGGCUCGACCCCGGAACUGCCUUUGAUACUGCUAGUCUAGAGUUCGAGAGAGGUGAGUGGAAUUCCGAGUGUAGAGGUGAAAUUCGUAGAUAUUCGGAGGAACACCAGUGGCGAAGGCGGCUCACUGGCUUGAUACUGACGCUGAGGUGCGAAAGCGGGGGGAGCAAACAGGAUUAGAUACCCUGGUAGUCCACGCCGUAAGCGAUGAAUGCCAGUCGUCAGGGGGCUUGCCCUUUGGUGACACACCUAACGGAUUAAGCAUUCCGCCUGGGGAGUACGGCCGCAAGGUUA
Molecule: ribosomal RNA, 523 nt
Filed under: uncultured bacterium
Lineage: Bacteria
Description: bacterial SSU rRNA
Rfam family: Bacterial small subunit ribosomal RNA
Source: RNAcentral